UAUAUAGAAUAUGUUUAGUAGAAGUUUGCUGAACUAAAUGGACCAAAAAAAGAUUAAAUAGGCACAUACACACACAAAAUCUGCUACAGGUUAAUGAGAUAUAAAAAAUAAGGGAAACGCAAAAAAUUGUUUCACAGGCACACAACAUGAGCAAUGAACAUGAAGUUUAAAGAAGUUGCGUUUUUGUAGAUACACUGAGCAUUGAUACUUCGACUUACCAGGCUACAAAGAAAGUCUGAAUUAGUCUCACUGAAACUCCAACCUGAUCCAUGGGAAGGAUCCCUGAGAGGACUAUUACCAGCCCUGCUUUGAGCUAGCAGAAGAUUGGUAAGUCUGGCCUCAUUCAGGUCUUGUUGACUAUUGAGUCCACUUCUUUUU
Odocoileus virginianus texanus is the source of this 378-nucleotide non-coding RNA. NCBI's taxonomy places the organism in Eukaryota, Metazoa, Chordata, Mammalia, Artiodactyla, Cervidae. The record is from RefSeq and is a predicted model, not a curated record.